Molecule: ribosomal RNA, 490 nt
Filed under: uncultured bacterium
Lineage: Bacteria
Description: partial 16S ribosomal RNA
Rfam family: Bacterial small subunit ribosomal RNA
Source: RNAcentral
GAUGAACGCUGGCGGCGUGCCUAAUACAUGCAAGUCGAACGGUAACAGGAAACAGCUUGCUGUUUCGCUGACGAGUGGCGGACGGGUGAGUAAUGUCUGGGAAACUGCCUGAUGGAGGGGGAUAACUACUGGAAACGGUAGCUAAUACCGCAUAACGUCGCAAGACCAAAGAGGGGGACCUUCGGGCCUCUUGCCAUCGGAUGUGCCCAGAUGGGAUUAGCUAGUAGGUGGGGUAACGGCUCACCUAGGCGACGAUCCCUAGCUGGUCUGAGAGGAUGACCAGCCACACUGGAACUGAGACACGGUCCAGACUCCUACGGGAGGCAGCAGUGGGGAAUAUUGCACAAUGGGCGCAAGCCUGAUGCAGCCAUGCCGCGUGUAUGAAGAAGGCCUUCGGGUUGUAAAGUACUUUCAGCGGGGAGGAAGGGAGUAAAGUUAAUACCUUUACUCAUUGACGUUACCCGCAGAAGAAGCACCGGCUAACUCCGUG